Molecule: ribosomal RNA, 253 nt
Filed under: uncultured prokaryote
Description: partial 16S ribosomal RNA
Rfam family: Bacterial small subunit ribosomal RNA
Source: RNAcentral
UACGAAGGGGGCUAGCGUUGCUCGGAUUGACUGGGCGUAAAGGGCGCGUAGGCGGUUCGUACAGUCAGACGUGAAAGCCCACGGCUCAACCGUGGAGGGUCAUUGGAAACUGGGAGACUUGAGUGCAGAAGAGGAAAGUGGAAUUCCAUGUGUAGCGGUGAAAUGCGUAGAGAUAUGGAGGAACACCAGUGGCGAAGGCGACUUUCUGGUCUGUAACUGACACUGAGGCGCGAAAGCGUGGGGAGCAAACAGG